Molecule: long non-coding RNA, 1913 nt
Organism: Ursus thibetanus thibetanus
Lineage: Eukaryota; Metazoa; Chordata; Mammalia; Carnivora; Ursidae
Source: Ensembl
AUGGGCAUGGCGACAGCUUCCCUGUUGGGCCCACCCCUCGGCCAGCCCCUGCCUGGAGGGGUCAUCUCUGAGCUCCAAAGCCUUCUCAGAGCCUGCCCCCACGAUGUCUGUCCUCCACGAAGCUCCCCAGAUUUUCUCCGCAUCCAAACAGUACCCUGGAGUCCCUGUAGGACCUUUCCUCCUUGGAGCCUCGGCUUCCAAGGGACAGCGACAGGUCUCCUGCGACCCACACCAAGCAACAUGGGCCCACACCCGAAGUCCGACCAGCUGCCCCCCCCACCCCCCGCGAAGCGUGUAGGAGGGCAGUGUGCACACGGCCCUGCACAGACCUCCAGGGGCCCAUCUGCUGUUGCGGACGGAGGCCCAGACCUGGCUGACCAGGAGCCGGCCUUGGCCUAGCUUUUCUGAAAACCCAGGAGCAUGUGCUUGCCUUCCCCCAAGGCCGUGGUGCUACGGGGGUCCCGGGGGGCAGCGGAAGCACCGAGACUAAUGACUGCCAGAAGGAGCAGGCUCAGCGCCCAUGACCGGGACGCAUAGCCCUGCUGCACCUUAGCACCCUGGGAAGCAUUAAACACGAUGACCAACCCCAAGCAGGGUACCCCUCAAAAGGGGGCUGCAGGGGUUUUCUUCUGGGGGCAGGAAGAGGUCAGAUGUCAGCAUGGCCUCCCCGGCCCGCCCUGACCACGGCACUGGGAUCUCCGGAGGCAGCAGAGAGGGGACUUGACCCAAGUCAGUCUGCCUAAGGUGAGAGUGUUGGGGCCUUCUCUCCAUUGGGGCCUGGCAAGCCGGCCCAGGGGAGACACGGAGCACCUGAGGUGGCCCCUGGCCACCGCCAGCAACCCCUCUGGAAGCCAGCUCUGCAGCCUCACCCUUACUGGUUCAAGCUUCCCAGCCAGCCUGGAGACCCUUCAUCAGCAGCCUUGUCUCAGCCUCCACGGCAAGCCAGGCAGGCAUCCAGUCCGGUUCCGCGCUGCCCUGGCCCCCGCCCCCCCAUCAGGUUUCUGUAGUGGCCAGCACCCUGCAUCUAUCUCCCUUUCCUUGUUUCUCCCAGCUGCCCCACACCUACUGUCCACAGGUCCUAGGCCGUCAGAAUCCCUCCCCUCCCCUCCCUCCAACCCCCUGGCCUGGGAGGUUGACCGGGACAGGUAAGAAGGCCAGGCCAGAAAGCUCAGGCUUAAUUUGUGAAUGGCAUCCACAGGCCAGGGCCCUGCCCACCCCCCUUCCCACCCACCUCAGGCCAGCCCCUGCCUUGUUCACAAGCUCCUCCAGCCUCAGCCACUCUGGGUUUCCUGGUCUCCUUGGCCCCUGUUCCCAUGGGGUAUCCAAGGCAGCAGGUGGCACAAGGGUUGGAAGCCUGGGAAGCCUGGGAAGCCUGGCUGUCCCGUCUGCCAUGGGCUAAUGAGAGCACCGGGCUCCUGAGUGAGGCCCGGAGUACAGUUAGCACAGCUGGACAGACCCAGGUAAGACUCCCUUCCUCAGUGCUCCCUCCUCCCCUCCUCCCUUUCUCCCUGCAGAGCUGCUCCCUCCUCCCCUCCUCCCUCCAGAGCUGCUCCCUCCUCCCCUUGUUCCUCCAGACCUGCUCCCUCCUCCCCUCCUUCCUCCAGAGCUGGUCCCUCCUCCCCUUGUCCCUCCAGGGCUCCUUCCUCCACUCCUCCUUCUAGUGCUCCCUCUUUCCCUCUUUCCAUAGCUGCUCCAAGGCAGGAGGGUGAAAACCUGCUCCCAAGCCAGGGCUGAACUUUUGGCCCAAAGCCUCUCAGCAGAAUGCAGGGCCCCAAUGGAGGGCACGCAGGCAAGGGGCUCCUGGAGGGGGAGUGGCUCCUGAGGCCCUCAGUCCUUCUAAGAGUAGAGGGGGAUGUGGUGGGCAGAGCCCUGAGCCUGUGAGCUGGGGGUGGGGGGGAGGGACUUUGCAGCUG